UACGUAGGGUGCAAGCGUUGUCCGGAUUCAUUGGGCGUAAAGAGCUCGUAGGCGGCUUUGUAAGUCGGGUGUGAAAACCCCAGGCUCAACCUGGGGACGCCACUCGAUACUGCAAUAGCUAGAGUCUGGUAGGGGAUCACGGAAUUCCUGGUGUAGCGGUGAAAUGCGCAGAUAUCAGGAGGAACACCGGUGGCGAAGGCGGUGAUCUGGGCCAGUACUGACGCUGAGGAGCGAAAGCAUGGGGAGCGAACAGG
This 254-nucleotide ribosomal RNA is filed under the name uncultured bacterium. RNAcentral's name for it is "partial 16S ribosomal RNA". It matches the Rfam family "Bacterial small subunit ribosomal RNA", at positions 524 to 776 of the family's 1533-position model. The record is from RNAcentral.